This 450-nucleotide ribosomal RNA is filed under the name uncultured bacterium. RNAcentral's name for it is "partial 16S ribosomal RNA". It matches the Rfam family "Bacterial small subunit ribosomal RNA", at positions 354 to 796 of the family's 1533-position model. The record is from RNAcentral.
GUGGGGAAUCUUCCGCAAUGGACGAAAGUCUGACGGAGCAACGCCGCGUGAGUGAAGAAGGUUUUCGGAUCGUAAAGCUCUUUCGUUAGGGACGAACGUGCUCUUUGUGAAUAAUGAGGAGUAAUGACGGUACCUAAAUAAGAAGCCACGGCUAACUACGUGCCAGCAGCCGCAGUAAUACGUAGGUGGCAAGCGUUGUCCGGAAUUAUUGGGCGUAAAGCGCGCGCAGGCGGGAUAUCAAGUCUGUCUUAAAAGUGCGAGGCUCAACCUCGUGAGGGGACAGAAACUGGUAUUCUUGAGUGUCGGAGAGGAAAGUGGAAUUCCAAGUGUAGCGGUGAAAUGCGUAGAGAUUUGGAAGAACACCAGGGGCGAAGGCGACUUUCUGGACGAUGUCUGACGCUGAGGCGCGAAAGCUAGGGGAGCGAACGGGAUUAGAAACCCCGGUAGUCC